Molecule: ribosomal RNA, 125 nt
Organism: Arabis alpina (gray rockcress)
Lineage: Eukaryota; Viridiplantae; Streptophyta; Magnoliopsida; Brassicales; Brassicaceae
Source: Rfam
GGGUGCUAUCAUACCAGUACCAGUACUAGUACAUCAGAUCUCAUUAAAACUCCACAGUUAAGCGGGCCAUGCGAAAGUAGUACUAAGAUGGGUGACCCUUCUGGGAAGUCUUCAGGUUGCACCCC